GAAAUGCGAUAAGUAAUGUGAAUUGCAGAAUUCAGUGAAUCAUCGAAUCUUUGAACGCACCUUGCGCUCCUUGGUAUUCCUUGGAGCAUGCCUGUUUGAGUAUCAUGAAAUCUUCAAAGUAAAUCUUUUGUUAACUCAAUUGGUUUCUACUUUGGUAUUGGAGGUCUUUGCAGCUUCACACCUGCUCCUCUUUGUUCAUUAGCUGGAUCUCAGUGUUAUGCUUGGUUACACUCGGCGUGAUAAGUUAUCUAUCGCUGAGGACACUGUAAAAGGUGGCCAAGAUAAAUGCAGAUGAACCGCUUCUAAUAGUCCAUUGACUUGGACAAUACUUUUAUGAUCUGAUCUCAAAUCAGGUAGGACUACCCGCUGAACUUAAGC
Molecule: unclassified non-coding RNA, 378 nt
Filed under: plant metagenome
Description: partial contains 5.8S ribosomal RNA, internal transcribed spacer 2, and large subunit ribosomal RNA
Rfam family: 5.8S ribosomal RNA (bases 1-105)
Source: RNAcentral